GACGAACGCUGGCGGCGUGCUUAACACAUGCAAGUCGAACGGUGAAGCGAGUGCUUGCACUCGUGGAUCAGUGGCGAACGGGUGAGUAACACGUGAGUAACCUGCCCAUCACUCUGGGAUAAGCACUGGAAACGGUGUCUAAUACUGGGUACGACCAACCCUUGCAUGGGGUGUUGGUGGAAAGAUUUAUCGGUGAUGGAUGGACUCGCGGCCUAUCAGCUUGUUGGCGGGGUAAUGGCCCACCAAGGCGACGACGGGUAGCCGGCCUGAGAGGGUGACCGGCCACACUGGGACUGAGACACGGCCCAGACUCCUACGGGAGGCAGCAGUGGGGAAUAUUGCACAAUGGGCGAAAGCCUGAUGCAGCGACGCCGCGUGAGGGAUGACGGCCUUCGGGUUGUAAACCUCUUUCAGCAGGGAAGAAGCGAAAGUGACGGUACCUGCAGAAGAAGCACCGGCUAACUACGUG
This 469-nucleotide ribosomal RNA is filed under the name uncultured bacterium. RNAcentral's name for it is "partial 16S ribosomal RNA". It matches the Rfam family "Bacterial small subunit ribosomal RNA", at positions 28 to 507 of the family's 1533-position model. The record is from RNAcentral.